RNAcentral lists this ribosomal RNA (448 nucleotides) under uncultured bacterium. Its description in RNAcentral is "bacterial SSU rRNA". It matches the Rfam family "Bacterial small subunit ribosomal RNA", at positions 355 to 825 of the family's 1533-position model. The record is from RNAcentral.
UGGGGAAUCUUGCACAAUGGGCGAAAGCCUGAUGCAGCAACGCCGCGUGCGGGAAGAAGGCCCUCGGGUUGUAAACCGCUUUCAGAAGGAACGAAACUGACGGUACUUUCAGAAGAAGGUGCGGCCAACUACGUGCCAGCAGCCGCGGUGACACGUAGGCACCAAGCGUUGUCCGGAUUUAUUGGGCGUAAAGAGCUCGUAGGCGGUUCAGUAAGUCGGGUGUGAAAACUUUGGGCUUAACCCAAAGCGUGCAUCCGAUACUGCUGUGACUUGAGUACGGUAGGGGAGCGGGGAAUUCCUAGUGUAGCGGUGAAAUGCGCAGAUAUUAGGAGGAACACCGGUGGCGAAGGCGCCGCUCUGGGCCGAAACUGACGCUGAGGAGCGAAAGCAUGGGUAGCAAACAGGAUUAGAUACCCCUGUAGUCCCUGAGCGGGCUGGCAAGGCGCAU